GCGUUGGUGGUGUAGCGCUGAGCGUAGGUGCCUUCCAAGCAGUUGACCGGGUUCGAAUCCCAGCCAACGCA
This 71-nucleotide transfer RNA is filed under the name Pangasianodon hypophthalmus (striped catfish). It matches the Rfam family "tRNA". Rfam says of the family: Transfer RNA (tRNA) molecules are approximately 80 nucleotides in length. Their secondary structure includes four short double-helical elements and three loops (D, anti-codon, and T loops). Further hydrogen bonds mediate the characteristic L-shaped molecular structure. tRNAs have two regions of fundamental functional importance: the anti-codon, which is responsible for specific mRNA codon recognition, and the 3' end, to which the tRNAs corresponding amino acid is attached (by aminoacyl-tRNA synthetases). tRNAs cope with the degeneracy of the genetic code in two manners: having more than one tRNA (with a specific anti-codon) for a particular amino acid; and 'wobble' base-pairing, i.e. permitting non-standard base-pairing at the 3rd anti-codon position. The record is from Rfam by way of RNAcentral. Lineage: Eukaryota; Metazoa; Chordata; Actinopteri; Siluriformes; Pangasiidae.